This 542-nucleotide ribosomal RNA is filed under the name Latridopsis forsteri (bastard trumpeter). RNAcentral describes it as "partial 16S ribosomal RNA". It matches the Rfam family "Bacterial large subunit ribosomal RNA", at positions 1816 to 2565 of the family's 2925-position model. Lineage: Eukaryota; Metazoa; Chordata; Actinopteri; Centrarchiformes; Latridae. The record is from RNAcentral.
UCGCCUCUUGCAAAACAACAUAUAAGAGGUCCCGCCUGCCCUGUGAUAAUAAAUUUAACGGCCGCGGUAUUUUGACCGUGCGAAGGUAGCGAAAUCACUUGUCUUUUAAAUGAAGACCUGUAUGAAUGGCACGACGAGGGCUUGACUGUCUCCUUUUUCAAGUCAAUGAAAUUGAUCUCCCCGUGCAGAAGCGGGGAUUAAAACAUAAGACGAGAAGACCCUAUGGAGCUUUAGACACCAGGAUAGACCAUGUUAAACACCCCCGAACAAGGGGCUAAACCAAAUGGGGCCUACCCCAAUGUCUUUGGUUGGGGCGACCGCGGGGAAACAAAAAACCCCCACGUGGAAUGGGAGUACUACUCCUAAAACUAAGAGCUCCCGCUCUAGUAAACAGAAUUUCUGACCAACAAGAUCCGGCAACGCCGAUCAACGAACCGAGUUACCCUAGGGAUAACAGCGCAAUCCCCUUUUAGAGCCCAUAUCGACAAGGGGGUUUACGACCUCGAUGUUGGAUCAGGACAUCCUAAUGGUGCAGCCGCUAU